Molecule: ribosomal RNA, 563 nt
Filed under: uncultured bacterium
Lineage: Bacteria
Description: bacterial SSU rRNA
Rfam family: Bacterial small subunit ribosomal RNA
Source: RNAcentral
CUACGGGAGGCAGCAGUGGGGAAUCUUGCGCAAUGGGCGAAAGCCUGACGCAGCAACGCCGCGUGCGGGAUGAAGGCCUUCGGGUUGUAAACCGCUUUUACCAGGAAGGAAAAUGACAGUACCUGGAGAAUAAGGUGCGGCCAACUACGUGCCAGCAGCCGCGGUGACACGUAGGCACCAAGCGUUGUCCGGAUUUAUUGGGCGUAAAGAGCUCGUAGGCGGUUCAGUAAGUCGGGUGUGAAAACUCUGGGCUUAACCCAGAGACGCCACCCGAUACUGCUGUGACUUGAGUCCGGUAGGGGAGUGGGGAAUUCCUGGUGUAGCGGUGAAAUGCGCAGAUAUCAGGAGGAACACCAAUGGCGAAGGCACCACUCUGGGCCGAGACUGACGCUGAGGAGCGAAAGCGUGGGUAGCAAACAGGAUUAGAUACCCUGGUAGUCCACGCCGUAAACGUUGGGCACUAGGUGUGGGUCUCAACCAACGAGAUCCGCGCCGUCGCUAACGCAUUAAGUGCCCCGCCUGGGGAGUACGGUCGCAAGGCUAAAACUCAAAGGAAUUGACGG